This 327-nucleotide ribosomal RNA is filed under the name uncultured eukaryote. RNAcentral describes it as "partial 18S ribosomal RNA". It matches the Rfam family "Eukaryotic small subunit ribosomal RNA", at positions 1470 to 1796 of the family's 1831-position model. The record is from RNAcentral.
CCCUUAGAUGUUCUGGGCCGCACGCGCGCUACACUGACGAAUGCAACGAGCUUAUAACCUUGGCCGAAAGGUCUGGGUAAUCUCCAAAUUUCGUCGUGAUGGGGAUAGAUUAUUGCAAUUAUUAAUCUUCAACGAGGAAUGCCUAGUAAGCGCAAGUCAUCAGCUUGCGUUGAUUACGUCCCUGCCCUUUGUACACACCGCCCGUCGCUCCUACCGAUUGAAUGGUCCGGUGAAGCGUUUGGACUAUGGUUUUCUGAUGGUCCGCCGUUAGAUUACCGUGGGAAGUUCGUUAAACCUUAUCAUUUAGAGGAAGGAGAAGUCGUAACA